CCUACGGGCGUCAGCAGUGAGGAAUAUUGGUCAAUGGGCGCGAGCCUGAACCAGCCAAGUCGCGUGAGGGAAGACGGUCCUAUGGAUUGUAAACCUCUUUUGUCGGGGAGCAAAAGACGCCACGCGUGGCGUUCCGAGAGUACCCGAAGAAAAAGCAUCGGCUAACUCCGUGCCAGCAGCCGCGGUAAUACGGAGGAUGCGAGCGUUAUCCGGAUUUCUUGGGUUUAAAGGGUGCGCAGGCGGAAGAUCAAGUCAGCGGUAAAAUUGAGGGGCUCAACCUCUUCGAGCCGUUGAAACUGGUUUUCUUGAGUGAGUGAGAGGUAUGCGGAAUGCGUGGUGUAGCGGUGAAAUGCAUAGAUAUCACGCAGAACUCCGAUUGCGAAGGCAGCAUACCGGCGCUCAACUGACGCUCAUGCACGAAAGUGUGGGUAUCGAACAGGAUUAGAUACCCGGGUAGUC
RNAcentral lists this ribosomal RNA (459 nucleotides) under uncultured bacterium. RNAcentral describes it as "partial 16S ribosomal RNA". It matches the Rfam family "Bacterial small subunit ribosomal RNA", at positions 338 to 795 of the family's 1533-position model. The record is from RNAcentral.